RNAcentral lists this long non-coding RNA (581 nucleotides) under Ictidomys tridecemlineatus (thirteen-lined ground squirrel). RNAcentral describes it as "lncRNA (ENSSTOG00000033202.1)". Lineage: Eukaryota; Metazoa; Chordata; Mammalia; Rodentia; Sciuridae. The record is from RNAcentral.
AACAAGAUGGUUGUGUCAUCCAUGACUAGGGCAGGAACCUUUGACUAUGGGUCACUUCAUACCUACCAUAGCAGUCCCUUUGGUUCAACUCCCUGUUGAGACCCCAGAUAUCCCUGGGGGCCACUUGAAAAAUCCAUGGAUCCUUCUAACCUACAGAGGAAGAAGGAGUGGGCUGAGAGGACUACCCAAACCCAUUGUCUUGCUGCUGGUCCACUGCUGGAUCAACCCCAGGAUACUGCAGAGGCACACUGUGAAGAGUCUUCUGGGGACACUGAAGCUCCUCUGAUUGAUUUCCGAGCGAAGAUGGCUUGUUCAGUGCCUUCCUACUCAAGGAGCUGGAGACUGAGCUUCUUCCUUUCUUCAAGGGAGAAUAUAAGUCUGGAUAGAAAAACUUGACAUUUGAGAACAACAUGAAGUCCAGAUUGAAUCUAAAUUCUCCCAUUUAGCAGCUAAGUUUAUUAACUUAUGGAAUUAAGUUAUUAACUUAUGGAAUUAAGUUCCUCACCCCAAAAUUAGUUACUAUUGUCUUUUUUCAUAGUUUUGUUGUUAUUAAAGAAAUAAAAUACAUAAAAUGAUUGACA